Molecule: long non-coding RNA, 1159 nt
Organism: Lolium rigidum
Lineage: Eukaryota; Viridiplantae; Streptophyta; Magnoliopsida; Poales; Poaceae
Exons: 4
Source: RefSeq, a predicted model, not a curated record
CCUGCACGCCGCCCGCCCCCAAUCGUGCAGCCGCCCUGCUCCUGGUCGCCCGCAACCGUGCCGUCCGUGUGGCCGCCGCUGCUCCCACCGUCGGGGCCGCCUCCACCUGCUCUCCCCGCGACCCAGCCUCCCCCCUGCUCCCAAGCACUGCAUCAAAGCCGCCCUCUGCUCCCACUGACCGAGCCGGCCAUCAGAUCCAGCGCGUUCCCGGUGCUGCAAGGGAACGACGACCAAGACCACGCCCUCCUUUGCUCCAGCAGGUCAAGCGCAGCACAUUCCUCACAACACUCUUGUUGAACAGGCAGUGCUGGAAUGCUCUCAAAUGCUGAUGAAAUGAUGCUCAAAUGGUGCUGAAUCGAGAGCAUUGACACGUGAAGAGGUAUGCAAUUUAAUCUCUUUUGGCCCCUUCUAUGAUGUUGGUCAAGCUCCGCCACUGCCCUGGUCUUUGCUUUUGGAUCUGCCCAUAGUGAUAGGGAGAAUCCUACCAGCAUUUAGGACUAACAAGGUGCAGGUAUGAAGCUCCUAAUUCUUGUCUAGCUCCGCCACUGGUCACCCCUCCUUGUUGGUACAAGCUCCGCCACUGAGUAGCCUCCCAUUACUGGGACUACUGCAAGGUGCAGACAUGAAGCACCCCAAGCUCUGCCACUGAGUAGCACCCCGUUUGUUGGGCCUACUGCAAGGUGCAGACAUGAAGCACCCCUUCUAUGAUCUUGGUCAAGCUCUGCCACUGAGUAGCAUGCCUUUUAUGAUCUUGGUCAAGCUCUGCCACUGAGUAGCCUCCCAUUACUGGGACUACUGCAAGGUGCAGACAUGAAGCACCCCAAGCUCCGCCACUGGUCCUACUACAAGGCGCAGACAUGAAGCACCCCUUCUAUGAUGUUGGUGAAGCUCCGCCACUGAGUAGCCUCCCAUUUAGUGGGACUACCGCAAGGUGCAGACAUGAAGCACCCCGUCUAAGAUGUUGGUCAAGCUCAGCCACUGCUUGGCAUGUCAUGGUGCAGCAAAUGUUGGGUCAUGUUUGCUUGGCUGGGUGGGGUGGGCCCACCCAGCCAAGCUGAGUCGACCAUGAAGUGUAAUUAUAUCUUUAAUGUGGGGACAACGAAGUCUUUUCUCAAUGUAUUUAUUUUUAUGAGAGGAGCCGCUCCUCCCCCUGCCCCAA